CUGUCUCGAUCUACGUGUGCUUUAUAGUAGUCAACAAAUUGAAGAUUUUACGGGAUUAAUCCAAUGACCAUACCACAAACGUGACCGCUGUAGCUGCAGAAACGCUAUUGACAGAUGAAGUCUACUUCCCCAACGUAGUUGCAUUGCAUAUUGACAAUGGACAUGCUUGCCUGCAUCAAGAUUCAAUAUGUUCUCCAUCAACAGAAUUCUUAACAUCCACUGGCGGGACCAUUAUAAUCAGGGAGGUAUACGGCAAUCUACCGCCGUCCGAGACAGUUAUGCAGAGACGUCUUCAGUUUGCCGUCACUGUUUACUACAGACGAUCAACCUAUAUCGCACCUGGUCUUCUGGAAUCCUCCUGGCGGACAUCCAAACCGCGGCAGGAGGUAAAUAAACUACCCAGACACCAUCACCAGAGACACUUAUCUCAAUCAAAUCGAGACCCAACAACUCAUGAGGGAUAAGGCAACCGGGCACCACACCAUCAAAGCUGCUUCUACUAAUCCGU
Molecule: long non-coding RNA, 508 nt
Organism: Asterias rubens (European starfish)
Lineage: Eukaryota; Metazoa; Echinodermata; Asteroidea; Forcipulatida; Asteriidae
Exons: 3
Source: RefSeq, a predicted model, not a curated record